Molecule: unclassified non-coding RNA, 149 nt
Filed under: uncultured fungus
Lineage: Eukaryota; Fungi
Description: sequence contains ITS1, 5.8S rRNA gene
Source: RNAcentral
CCGAGUGAGGGCCUCUGGCCCGACCUCCAACCCUUUGUUAAUCAAUACCUCGUUGCCUCGGGGGUGACCCGGACCUCGCGUCCGGGGCCCCCGGUGGACCACAUUCAAACUCUUGCAUCUCUGCGUCGGAGUCUCGAGCAAAUCGAUUA